UACGUAGGGGGCAAGCGUUAUCCGGAUUUACUGGGUGUAAAGGGAGCGUGGACGGCAGUGCAAGUCUGGAGUGAAAGGCGGGGGCUCAACCCCCGGACUGCUCUGGAAACUGUACGGCUGGAGUGCAGGAGAGGUAAGUGGAAUUCCUAGUGUAGCGGUGAAAUGCGUAGAUAUUAGGAGGAACACCAGUGGCGAAGGCGGCUUACUGGACUGUAACUGACGUUGAGGCUCGAAAGCGUGGGGAGCAAACAGG
Molecule: ribosomal RNA, 253 nt
Filed under: uncultured bacterium
Lineage: Bacteria
Description: partial 16S ribosomal RNA
Rfam family: Bacterial small subunit ribosomal RNA
Source: RNAcentral